GCCCCCUUAGCUCAGUUGGCCAGAGCACCUGUCUUGUAAACAGGGGGUCGCCGGUUCGAAUCCGGCAGGGGGCUCCA
RNAcentral lists this transfer RNA (77 nucleotides) under Paeniglutamicibacter sulfureus. RNAcentral describes it as "tRNA-Thr". It matches the Rfam family "tRNA". Rfam says of the family: Transfer RNA (tRNA) molecules are approximately 80 nucleotides in length. Their secondary structure includes four short double-helical elements and three loops (D, anti-codon, and T loops). RNAcentral also lists the same sequence under 19 other names. The record is from RNAcentral. Lineage: Bacteria; Bacillati; Actinomycetota; Actinomycetes; Micrococcales; Micrococcaceae.